This is a long non-coding RNA of Entelurus aequoreus (snake pipefish), 2937 nucleotides long. RefSeq lists it as uncharacterized. The record is from RefSeq and is a predicted model, not a curated record. The transcript is spliced from 3 exons. Lineage: Eukaryota; Metazoa; Chordata; Actinopteri; Syngnathiformes; Syngnathidae.
CACCACCUCCAUCUACUCCUUUGCUCUUGUGUCUUCCUGUUUUUCCAGCUCCUUCUCGACCCUCCUCAUCUUCCUCAUUCUUGCGAUGCGACCUGGGCUUUUUGUGUUCGGACAGCCCGGCCCCACGACUUCCACUGCGGUUGUGGUGAUGGCGCCUGGUGGGUCUCUCCUCAGAACCGGGCCCAGGAAUAACGGUUGCAUCCAGUCUGACAUGGGAGGUGCGGUGGUGGUGAGCUCCUUUCCGGCUCCGCCUGCUCUCGGUGGACUCGCCUCGCUCUAGAGGAGGUUUGACAGGGCCGACUUGACCACUGUGUUGGUGGAGGUGUGUUUGUGUGUGGAGGUUGUCGGUGGGAUGCUGCUGGCUAAAGCAGAGUUCUGGAUUGUUCUCGGUGUUCUUGUUGGUGUUGUUGUUGCGGUUCUCAAGGGGGUCAACCACCAAAGGACGAUCCAGGUGAGUUUUCAUAUCAGGUCGGACUUGUCGUGCGAAGUUCACCUGAAUAAUGAGAAUCAGUUGUUCAGUCCUUAAAUAGCUGGAAAAUAGGUAUAAGUGACUAUUUGUGGUCAUUAUACAGUGGAACCUCUAGGCCAGGGAGAACAAACAAGGCUAUGUCAACACUAAGCCGGAUAACCCCUUAAACAAAUAAUAAUUUAGCCUAAGCCCCGUUUCAGCCACACUAAACCAGCGUUUAAGGUUGCCCUCCUUGGAUAAUUUUGUACACAGGUAAGUGCGCCGUGUAUUUCUUCAAUCUCCGGCUCUUUGCUUUGUAUGGACUCAUUGAUCGUUUACAAACUGAGUUCGGAGAGGAAGUGACGCCAGAAAGACCGCACCCACAUAAGAAGUGAUGUCAGAAAGAAUGUGCCACAGCCAGCUUCAUAACAAACGGUUUCCACUUGGAGGUAAACACUAGCAAUAUGGAGGCGAGUCAUCCAGACAUGCCCGUGUUUCUCCUUCCGUGUGGAAAUCACACAUGAAUACCUUAAGAGAAAGCGAUUGCAGCUAUUUGGGAUACAACACUUGUCAGACGGCAAGAGAACUUUCGAAUGUCCAGGUCAGCUGUGAUUCUACUUACCGAAAAACUUCGUCCAUUUGUGGAAGGAGAGAACACGACAAUGCGGGCUCCCGUGGAUUUGAUAAAAAAAAAGGUAGCGUGUGCUUUGUAUUACAUGACCGACGAGGGAAGACUCUGGAAAACGGCGAAUGCUUUUGGACUGGCAAAGCAGACUGUAUCAGUUAUUGUCCGCCAUGUAUGUUGCGGACUCAACGUCUAGGUACAGAGUAUAUAAAGUCACCAAAAACGAAUGGACAAUGAAGGUGAAGGCAAAAGAGUGAGGAGUGUCCUGACCAGAUAUCUAGAUCCCAAGAUUGAUUGAUGUAAAAUGUUAUUUAUCACAUUGUUUACUUUCACGUGUCCAUUGAAGAUUUGAUUAAUUUAUGAUGUCUCAGGUGUGAUUCACUACAAUAGGGCCCCACAGCACACUGGAUUCCAGCUCAUUCAAAUACCACAACACUGGAUAUUGUUCAGAUAAGUUACAUUAAAUUUAAGAACUUGCACACAAAGCAACACUGGAGGUGACUAUGACGUGCGCAUUUUCCGCGCAAGCGUACUAAGUCGGGUUGCGCCGGCGGACGGAGGGGGGGAGGGGGUCUUAAACGACCAUUGUGUGCGUGUGGACAAGGAUAAGGUUAGGUGGGAUUUACCCUGGAUAACCUUAGUGUAGAAGGGGCCGGGCUGGAUUUCCAGAAAGCUAAGGACCGGGGAGCCGGACUUAUCCCUUCACCAUUAGUCCUUUUUUGCAUGUUCCGGAGAACCAGUGUCCUCUACAGUAGACACAUGCUUUUUUUCUUUUUUUUUAAUGAGUAACAGGAGCGCUCUGCUGUUUAUAAGCACCUUCUGGCUGCAAAAGUCCGGCACCUCAUCUAGAAGCGCACCGGGACACGCCCCUGCUCGCUCUUUCCGCAUCGCGGCCACGCCCCUGCACGGCUGCAGGCAGUCAGCAAUCAACGCACCUGGGUCUGAUGAGAGCAUAAGGAAUAAAGACCAGCGGACCCGAAGAUCCAGUGCCGGAACGUAGUUCACUCUCCGUGUGUUCCCUCUGUUCAUACUUGCCAACCCUCCAGAUACUCCCGGGAGACUCCCGAAUUUCAGUGCCCGUCCCGAAAAUCUCCCGGGGCAACCAUUCUCCCGAAUUUUCCCGAUUUCCACCCGUACAACAAUAUUGGGGGCAUGCCUCAAAGGCACUGCCUUAAGCGUCCUCUACAACCUGUCGUCAAGUCCACUUUUCCUACAUACAAACAGCGUGCCGGCCCAGUCACAUAACAUAUGCGGCUUUUACACACACACACAAGUGAAUGCAAGGCAUACUUGAUCAACAGCCAUACAGGUCACACUGAGGGUGGCCGUAUAAACAACUUUAAAACUAUUAAAAAUAUGCACCACACUGUGAACCCACACCAAACAAAAAUGACAAACAUAUUUCGGGAGAACAUCCACACCGUAACACAACAUAAACAAUACCCAGAACCCCUUGCAGCACUAACUCUUAAGGGACGCUACAAUAUACACCCCCCGCUAACAUCAAACCCCCCCACCCACCCACCCACAUCUCCCGAAUUCAGAGGUCUCAAGGUUGGCAAGUAUGCCUCUGUUCCCCAUGAUCGAGCUGUGUGCCUAGACUUCCCACUGGAUUCUGGACUGCCUCCCUCAAUCCUCGACCCCUGCUUGGACACGGACCUCGUCGCCUCUCUCCAGCCCCCGACCUCUCGCUUGCCUACUGACUGUCUUCUCGCCUUGCCCCCCUGGUCUGAUGAAGGAUUCAUCCAACACGCACUUACAACAAACUGCUAACAUUUACAUUUUCAAUUCUACACAUCGUCUCGCACCAUUCACACAUAGUAGCAUACACACCCCAACACAUCAUCAUCACCAGCUUCAAUAA